GUGCCCCUACGGGAGGCAGCAGUGGGGAAUAUUGCACAAUGGGGGAAACCCUGAUGCAGCGACGCCGCGUGAGUGAAGAAGUAUCUCGGUACGUAAAGCUCUAUCAGCAGGGAAGAAAAAAAGUCUUUGGCUUUGGACGGUACCUGACUAAGAAGCCCCGGCUAACUACGUGCCAGCAGCCGCGGUAAUACGUAGGGGGCAAGCGUUAUCCGGAUUUACUGGGGGUAAAGGGAGCGUAGACGGCAGCGCACGUCUGGAGUGAAA
Molecule: ribosomal RNA, 264 nt
Filed under: uncultured bacterium
Lineage: Bacteria
Description: partial 16S ribosomal RNA
Rfam family: Bacterial small subunit ribosomal RNA
Source: RNAcentral